This 496-nucleotide ribosomal RNA is filed under the name uncultured bacterium. RNAcentral describes it as "partial 16S ribosomal RNA". It matches the Rfam family "Bacterial small subunit ribosomal RNA", at positions 28 to 507 of the family's 1533-position model. The record is from RNAcentral.
GACGAACGCUGGCGGCGUGCCUAAUACAUGCAAGUUGAGCGCUGAAGGUUGGUACUUGUACCAACUGGAUGAGCAGCGAACGGGUGAGUAACGCGUGGGGAAUCUGCCUUUGAGCGGGGGACAACAUUUGGAAACGAAUGCUAAUACCGCAUAAAAACUUUAAACACAAGUUUUAAGUUUGAAAGAUGCAAUUGCAUCACUCAAAGAUGAUCCCGCGUUGUAUUAGCUAGUUGGUGAGGUAAGGCUCACCAAGGCGAUGAUACGUAGCCGACCUGAGAGGGUGAUCGGCCACAUUGGGACUGAGACACGGCCCAAACUCCUACGGGAGGCAGCAGUAGGGAAUCUUCGGCAAUGGACGAAAGUCUGACCGAGCAACGCCGCGUGAGUGAAGAAGGUUUUCGGAUCGUAAAACUCUGUUGGUAGAGAAGAACGUUGGUGAGAGUGGAAAGCUCAUCAAGUGACGGUAACUACCCAGAAAGGGACGGCUAACUACGUG